RNAcentral lists this ribosomal RNA (1650 nucleotides) under Staphylococcus aureus. RNAcentral describes it as "partial 23S ribosomal RNA". It matches the Rfam family "Bacterial large subunit ribosomal RNA", at positions 433 to 2087 of the family's 2925-position model. The record is from RNAcentral. Lineage: Bacteria; Bacillati; Bacillota; Bacilli; Caryophanales; Staphylococcaceae.
UCCGUCGGAAUCUGGGAGGACCAUCUCCUAAGGCUAAAUACUCUCUAGUGACCGAUAGUGAACCAGUACCGUGAGGGAAAGGUGAAAAGCACCCCGGAAGGGGAGUGAAAUAGAACCUGAAACCGUGUGCUUACAAGUAGUCAGAGCCCGUUAAUGGGUGAUGGCGUGCCUUUUGUAGAAUGAACCGGCGAGUUACGAUUUGAUGCAAGGUUAAGCAGUAAAUGUGGAGCCGUAGCGAAAGCGAGUCUGAAUAGGGCGUUUAGUAUUUGGUCGUAGACCCGAAACCAGGUGAUCUACCCUUGGUCAGGUUGAAGUUCAGGUAACACUGAAUGGAGGACCGAACCGACUUACGUUGAAAAGUGAGCGGAUGAACUGAGGGUAGCGGAGAAAUUCCAAUCGAACCUGGAGAUAGCUGGUUCUCUCCGAAAUAGCUUUAGGGCUAGCCUCAAGUGAUGAUUAUUGGAGGUAGAGCACUGUUUGGACGAGGGGCCCCUCUCGGGUUACCGAAUUCAGACAAACUCCGAAUGCCAAUUAAUUUAACUUGGGAGUCAGAACAUGGGUGAUAAGGUCCGUGUUCGAAAGGGAAACAGCCCAGACCACCAGCUAAGGUCCCAAAAUAUAUGUUAAGUGGAAAAGGAUGUGGCGUUGCCCAGACAACUAGGAUGUUGGCUUAGAAGCAGCCAUCAUUUAAAGAGUGCGUAAUAGCUCACUAGUCGAGUGACACUGCGCCGAAAAUGUACCGGGGCUAAACAUAUUACCGAAGCUGUGGAUUGUCCUUUGGACAAUGGUAGGAGAGCGUUCUAAGGGCGUUGAAGCAUGAUCGUAAGGACAUGUGGAGCGCUUAGAAGUGAGAAUGCCGGUGUGAGUAGCGAAAGACGGGUGAGAAUCCCGUCCACCGAUUGACUAAGGUUUCCAGAGGAAGGCUCGUCCGCUCUGGGUUAGUCGGGUCCUAAGCUGAGGCCGACAGGCGUAGGCGAUGGAUAACAGGUUGAUAUUCCUGUACCACCUAUAAUCGUUUUAAUCGAUGGGGGGACGCAGUAGGAUAGGCGAAGCGUGCGAUUGGAUUGCACGUCUAAGCAGUAAGGCUGAGUAUUAGGCAAAUCCGGUACUCGUUAAGGCUGAGCUGUGAUGGGGAGAAGACAUUGUGUCUUCGAGUCGUUGAUUUCACACUGCCGAGAAAAGCCUCUAGAUAGAAAAUAGGUGCCCGUACCGCAAACCGACACAGGUAGUCAAGAUGAGAAUUCUAAGGUGAGCGAGCGAACUCUCGUUAAGGAACUCGGCAAAAUGACCCCGUAACUUCGGGAGAAGGGGUGCUCUUUAGGGUUAACGCCCAGAAGAGCCGCAGUGAAUAGGCCCAAGCGACUGUUUAUCAAAAACACAGGUCUCUGCUAAACCGUAAGGUGAUGUAUAGGGGCUGACGCCUGCCCGGUGCUGGAAGGUUAAGAGGAGUGGUUAGCUUCUGCGAAGCUACGAAUCGAAGCCCCAGUAAACGGCGGCCGUAACUAUAACGGUCCUAAGGUAGCGAAAUUCCUUGUCGGGUAAGUUCCGACCCGCACGAAAGGCGUAACGAUUUGGGCACUGUCUCAACGAGAGACUCGGUGAAAUCAUAGUACCUGUGAAGAUGCAGGUUACCCGCGACAGGACGGAAAG